CAGCGCCACAAGUGGUGACCAGCAUUAUUGGGCCUAAAGCGUCCGUAGCAGGAAAAACAAAUCUUUUGUGAAACUGUUCAGCUCAACUGAACAACGUGCAGGAGACACUAUUUUUCUAGAGACCGGGAGGAGUCAGAGGUAUUUUUGGGGGAGCGGUAAAAUGCUAUAAUCCCAAAAGGACCACCGAUGGCGAAGGCAUCUGACUAGAACGGAUCUGACUGAGGGACGAAGGCCAGGGGAGCGAACCGGAUUAGAGACCCGAGUAGUCC
This 269-nucleotide ribosomal RNA is filed under the name uncultured archaeon. RNAcentral's name for it is "partial 16S ribosomal RNA". It matches the Rfam family "Archaeal small subunit ribosomal RNA", at positions 477 to 747 of the family's 1478-position model. The record is from RNAcentral.